GACGAACGCUGGCGGCGUGCCUAAUACAUGCAAGUAGAACGCUGAGGACUGGUGCUUGCACUGGUCUAAGGAGUUGCGAACGGGUGAGUAACGCGUAGGUAACCUACCUCAUAGCGGGGGAUAACUAUUGGAAACGAUAGCUAAUACCGCAUGACAAUAGGGUACACAUGUACCCUAUUUAAAAGGGGCAAAUGCCUCACUAUGAGAUGGACCUGCGUUGUAUUAGCUAGUUGGUAAGGUAACGGCUUACCAAGGCGACGAUGGGUAGGGGAGCUGAGAGGCUUAUCCCCCACAUUGGGACUGAGACACGGCCCAA
This 316-nucleotide ribosomal RNA is filed under the name uncultured bacterium. Its description in RNAcentral is "bacterial SSU rRNA". It matches the Rfam family "Bacterial small subunit ribosomal RNA", at positions 28 to 334 of the family's 1533-position model. The record is from RNAcentral.